RNAcentral lists this ribosomal RNA (798 nucleotides) under soil bacterium Trim-S2R-M1LLLSSL-2. RNAcentral describes it as "bacterial SSU rRNA". It matches the Rfam family "Bacterial small subunit ribosomal RNA", at positions 92 to 886 of the family's 1533-position model. The record is from RNAcentral.
AGAGCGGCGGACGGGUGAGUAAUGCCUAGGAAUCUGCCUGGUAGUGGGGGAUAACGUUCGGAAACGGACGCUAAUACCGCAUACGUCCUACGGGAGAAAGCAGGGGACCUUCGGGCCUUGCGCUAUCAGAUGAGCCUAGGUCGGAUUAGCUAGUUGGUGGGGUAAUGGCUCACCAAGGCGACGAUCCGUAACUGGUCUGAGAGGAUGAUCAGUCACACUGGAACUGAGACACGGUCCAGACUCCUACGGGAGGCAGCAGUGGGGAAUAUUGGACAAUGGGCGAAAGCCUGAUCCAGCCAUGCCGCGUGUGUGAAGAAGGUCUUCGGAUUGUAAAGCACUUUAAGUUGGGAGGAAGGGCAGUUGCCUAAUACGUAACUGUUUUGACGUUACCGACAGAAUAAGCACCGGCUAACUCUGUGCCAGCAGCCGCGGUAAUACAGAGGGUGCAAGCGUUAAUCGGAAUUACUGGGCGUAAAGCGCGCGUAGGUGGUUUGUUAAGUUGGAUGUGAAAUCCCCGGGCUCAACCUGGGAACUGCAUUCAAAACUGACUGACUAGAGUAUGGUAGAGGGUGGUGGAAUUUCCUGUGUAGCGGUGAAAUGCGUAGAUAUAGGAAGGAACACCAGUGGCGAAGGCGACCACCUGGACUGAUACUGACACUGAGGUGCGAAAGCGUGUGGAGCAAACAGGAUUAGAUACCCUGGUAGUCCACGCCGUACACGAUGUCAACUAGCCGUUGGGAGCCUUGAGCUCUUAGUGGCGCAGCUAACGCAUUACGUUGACCGCCUGGGGAGUACGGC